RNAcentral lists this ribosomal RNA (433 nucleotides) under uncultured bacterium. Its description in RNAcentral is "partial 16S ribosomal RNA". It matches the Rfam family "Bacterial small subunit ribosomal RNA", at positions 29 to 507 of the family's 1533-position model. The record is from RNAcentral.
AACGAACGCUGGCGGCAUGCCUAACACAUGCAAGUCGAGCGAGGACUUCGGUCCUAGCGGCGGACGGGUGUGUAACGCGUGGGAACGUGCCCUUUGCUUCGGAAUAGCUCUGGGAAAGUGGUAGUAAUACCGGAUGAGCCCUUUGGGCGAAAGAUUUAUCGACCAAGGAUGGGCCCGCGUUGGAUUAGGUAGUUGGUAGGGUAAUGGCCUACCAAGCCGACGAUUCAUAGCUGGUUUGAGAGGAUGAUUAGCCACACUGGGACUGAGACACGGCCCAGACUCCUACGGGAGGCAGCAGUGGGGAAUGUUGGACAAUGGGGGAAACCCUGAUCUAGCCAUGCCGCGUGAGCGAUGAAGGCCUUAGGGUUGUAAAGCGCUUUUAGCUGGGAAGAUAAUGACGGUACCAGCAGAAGAAGCCCCGGCUAACUCCGUG